ACGGGAGGCAGCAGUGGAGAAUAUUGCACAAUGGGCGAAAGCCUGAUGCAGCAACGCCGCGUGAGGGAAGACGGUUUUCGGAUUGUAAACCUCUGUCCUAUGUGAAGAUAAUGACGGUAGCAUAGGAGGAAGCCACGGCUAACUACGUGCCAGCAGCCGCGGUAAUACGUAGGUGGCAAGCGUUGUCCGGAAUUACUGGGUGUAAAGGGAGCGCAGGCGGGUAAUCAAGUCAGCGGUGAAAUACAUGGGCUUAACUCAUGGACUGCCGUUGAAACUGACUAUCUUGAGUGAAUUAGAGGCAAGCGGAAUUCCGAGUGUAGCGGUGAAAUGCGUAGAUAUUCGGAGGAACACCAGUGGCGAAGGCGGCUUGCUGGGAUUUAACUGACGCUGAGGCUCGAAAGUGUGGGGAGCAAACAGGAUUAGAUACCCUGGUA
This 434-nucleotide ribosomal RNA is filed under the name uncultured Oscillospiraceae bacterium. Its description in RNAcentral is "bacterial SSU rRNA". It matches the Rfam family "Bacterial small subunit ribosomal RNA", at positions 341 to 792 of the family's 1533-position model. Lineage: Bacteria; Bacillati; Bacillota; Clostridia; Eubacteriales; Oscillospiraceae. The record is from RNAcentral.